AGGGGUAUAGCUCAAUGACAGAGUACAUGCUUGGUGUGCACAAGGUCCUGGGUUCAAUCCCCAGUGCCUCCA
This 72-nucleotide transfer RNA is filed under the name Camelus bactrianus (Bactrian camel). It matches the Rfam family "tRNA". From Rfam's summary of the family: Transfer RNA (tRNA) molecules are approximately 80 nucleotides in length. The record is from Rfam by way of RNAcentral. Lineage: Eukaryota; Metazoa; Chordata; Mammalia; Artiodactyla; Camelidae. RNAcentral also lists the same sequence under 3 other names.